AUUGAACGCUGGCGGCAGGCCUAACACAUGCAAGUCGAGCGGAUGAAGGGAGCUUGCUCCUGGAUUCAGCGGCGGACGGGUGAGUAAUGCCUGGGAAUCUGCCUGGUAGUGGGGGAUAACGUCCGGAAACGGGCGCUAAUACCGCAUACGUCCUGAGGGAGAAAGUGGGGGAUCUUCGGACCUCACGCUAUCAGAUGAGCCUAGGUCGGAUUAGCUAGUUGGUGGGGUAAAGGCCUACCAAGGCGACGAUCCGUAACUGGUCUGAGAGGAUGAUCAGUCGCACUGGAACUGAGACACGGUCCAGACUCCUACGGGAGGCAGCAGUGGGGAAUAUUGGACAAUGGGCGAAAGCCUGAUCCAGCCAUGCCGCGUGUGUGAAGAAGGUCUUCGGAUUGUAAAGCACUUUAAGUUGGGAGGAAGGGCAGUAAGUUAAUACCUUGCUGUUUUGACGUUACCAACAGAAUAAGCACCGGCUAACUUCGUG
RNAcentral lists this ribosomal RNA (484 nucleotides) under uncultured bacterium. RNAcentral's name for it is "partial 16S ribosomal RNA". It matches the Rfam family "Bacterial small subunit ribosomal RNA", at positions 30 to 507 of the family's 1533-position model. The record is from RNAcentral.